This 29-nucleotide transfer RNA is filed under the name Solanum circinatum. RNAcentral describes it as "partial tRNA-His". Lineage: Eukaryota; Viridiplantae; Streptophyta; Magnoliopsida; Solanales; Solanaceae. The record is from RNAcentral.
GCGGAUGUAGCCAANUGGAUCAAGGCAGU